UACGUAGGGUGCAAGCGUUGUCCGGAAUUAUUGGGCGUAAAGAGCUCGUAGGCGGUUUGUCGCGUCGGCUGUGAAAACCUGGGGCUCAACCCCAGCCUGCAGUGGGUACGGGCAGACUAGAGUGCGGUAGGGGAGAUUGGAAUUCCGUGGUGUAGCGGUGAAAUGCGUAGAUAUCAAGAGGAACACCUGAGGUGAAGACGGGUUGCUGGGCCGACAC
RNAcentral lists this ribosomal RNA (217 nucleotides) under uncultured bacterium. Its description in RNAcentral is "partial 16S ribosomal RNA". It matches the Rfam family "Bacterial small subunit ribosomal RNA", at positions 524 to 740 of the family's 1533-position model. The record is from RNAcentral.